This is a long non-coding RNA of Gadus morhua (Atlantic cod), 1345 nucleotides long. RefSeq lists it as uncharacterized. The transcript has 3 exons. The record is from RefSeq and is a predicted model, not a curated record. NCBI's taxonomy places the organism in Eukaryota, Metazoa, Chordata, Actinopteri, Gadiformes, Gadidae.
AGCUGUGAGAAGAAGCUGAAGAGACUAUGUUAUGUCGAGAAAACUUAGUUAACUUGAAGGACAGUUAUGCUAUUUACCGUUUGCAACCGGGCGUUUGUGUGAGUGUUUGUUUAUUUUGUUAAAAGUGUAAUCGAGCGUGCUUUAGAAGUGCGGCUUUUUGCUAAGGGGCUGACAACGAGGACGGGACUGUUUUGCUAGCGGUUAGCAUAACUGCGUGUGCGGGAGAGGCCAGGACAAGGACGGACUUUGCCACGUGCUGCUGCCGAGGAGUUGGUGUUGGACCGAGCAUCGAGACGGGUUCCUGAUCGUGUUGCUGCCUCUUGGAAGAGGUUGCUUUUCAAGGAGUUUACCGUGUCCUUUUGUCCUGAUUCGGGUAGCAAUUGUGAUCAACCAUCCAUCCCAAACCCAAGACCAAGGAGGUUGUUAUCGAUUUCCGGAGAGUCCCCACUCUUAAACCCCCACUGCACGUCGAUGGUGCUGCUCCCGAGAGACUCCGAAUGAAAAGCUGAGGAAACCAGGGUGACCCCUGUGACAAGCCUUCCAACCUCUAACGGGAAGAGGAGGAGGAGGAGGAACACUGCACGCAGUGAUGCCACCAGUGACAUCAUGGGAGCCUUCCUCGACCUCCAAGGGCAGCAGCAUGCAGAGCACAUGGAGGCGGAGGAGCUGCGGCACAGGCGCGAGAUGGUGAUGUUCGGUGCGAUGGAAGAGCGCCGACAGCAGGAGAACAGGAACAUGUUCCAACAACUGUAUGCUGCCAUCAGGCCCUCACACCCCCAUCUAACCACGAUGCACGCCUCCAGUCACAAUGACACUUUGCCAUGUAGACCGUCACCCAUCUAUCACAACCUUUAAAGCCCUUCACCAUCCUGCACAUUUAGCCCUCAAGACCUUAAAGACUGCCUUUCUAUUUUAUUGUUUGCAUUUUAUUUAGUGUUGUAUUUUCUAUUUUAUUGUUUGCAUUUUAUUUAGUGUUGUAUUUUCUCUUUAAUUUCAUUACCACACCAGCACAACUUAAGGUGUAGGUUUGUGAAGGAUUUAUUCUUUACCUUGUACAUUUUUAAGAGUGCCUUUUUAUUUUGAGUUUGUAUUGUUUGCUUAUUCUUAUUCAAUAGUUUUGUAUUUAACACUUUAUUUUGAUAGUCCACUCAACAAGCUAUCAAAAUAAAGUGAUACCUUUUGUAUGUAUAUGUAAAUAACGUUUUUUGCAAUUUCAUCUAUGGUCAGUAAUUUGUAAAACUGCCCUAUUUUUUUUAUGACCUAGGUGAUAAGGUAAAGGGUACAGCAUCCACCUUUUUCCCUAGAUUUUUCACUUUUAGGUACUAAAAUAUAUAUAAACCUCAUG